RNAcentral lists this ribosomal RNA (492 nucleotides) under uncultured bacterium. RNAcentral's name for it is "partial 16S ribosomal RNA". It matches the Rfam family "Bacterial small subunit ribosomal RNA", at positions 29 to 507 of the family's 1533-position model. The record is from RNAcentral.
AGUGAACGCUGGCGGCAGGCCUAACACAUGCAAGUCGAACGGCAGCACAGUAAGAGUUUGCUCUUACGGGUGGCGAGUGGCGGACGGGUGAGGAAUACAUCGGAAUCUACUUUUUCGUGGGGGAUAACGUAAGGAAACUUACGCUAAUACAGCAUACGACGUACGGGUGAAAGCAGUGGAUAUUCUCACCUUUCGCGACUCAAUGAGCCGAUGUCGGACUCGCUAGUUGGGUGGGUAAAGGCCCACCAAGGCGACGAUCGGUUGCUGGUCUGAGAGGAUGGUCAGCCCACCUGGAACUGGGACACGGUCCCAGCUCCUGAGGGAGGCCACAGUGGGGAAUAUUGGACAAUGGGCGCAAGGCUGGUCCAACCAUCGCGCGUGGGUGAAGAAGGCCCUCCGGUUGGAAAGCCGUUUUGUUGGGAGAGAAACGCAUCAGGUUAAUACCCCGCUGUUCUGACGGUACCCUAAGAAUAAGCACCGGCUAACUUCGUG